Molecule: long non-coding RNA, 767 nt
Organism: Lucilia cuprina (Australian sheep blowfly)
Lineage: Eukaryota; Metazoa; Arthropoda; Insecta; Diptera; Calliphoridae
Exons: 3
Source: RefSeq, a predicted model, not a curated record
UGUUCUUGUAUUGUGGCCGUUACUUGCUGCAAUUGCUGCUGAGGUAUUGUGAUUGUAGUUGAGCCGCCCAAAGUGUUUAAACCCAAUGGUGGUCCCGUUUGUACCUGUAAGACCUGUUGUGGCAAAUAAAUGAUUUGUUUCUUCAUGUGCUUGUCUUAAACAUAAAAUAUCUACCCAUUUACUAUCUCUUUGCCUAAUAUACUUACUACAUUUUGGUUUUCCUUUUUAAUAUUCUCCGCUGAAUAUUUUAAAAAAUGAUGUAAUGAUAGUGGCAAUGUAUUAGCCGGAAGAUGUGAUAGAUAAUCUGCAACCGUAGUACCAGGGGUUAAUGAUUGCCAUGAGGUAUUUUGUAACACUAUUGAGAGGAAGUAAGAAAAUUUUGAGAAUUUAAUACAACAGCUCUUUAAGUCUUAAAGUAAAAGUGAAAUAUGCAAUUGAAAUGGCCUCCACCUGGUUUUAACUAAACUAUUUAUAACUAAAUUGGACUUUACAUAUGUGUAAAACUAACAUUCUGGAAUAUAAAGCUGCUGGAGCAAUAAAAAAUCAACAUCUUUUCGUUAAGGUCACUUCAAUCAAGUCAAGUUUGAGUUGAAACUAUCAUCAAAUUUUACAAGAUCCUAAAAAACAAGAAGUCUUAAGGAUACAACACUGAAACUUUUCCAAACCUUUACGCAACAAUCACCUACUAAAUGAUUGCUAUACCAUCCAAUAAAUCUAUUAUUUUAUAAAAAUAAUUGUAAAAUAUUAAAAACUAAUAAAAUUAUACU